This 170-nucleotide ribosomal RNA is filed under the name Ciliata mustela (fivebeard rockling). Its description in RNAcentral is "partial 12S ribosomal RNA". The record is from RNAcentral. Lineage: Eukaryota; Metazoa; Chordata; Actinopteri; Gadiformes; Lotidae.
CACCGCGGUUAUACGAGAGGCCCAAGUUGAUGAAAUGCGGCGUAAAGAGUGGUUAAGAAAAUUAAAGAAUAAGGCCGAACAACCUCAAAGCAGUUAUACGCAUCCGAGGCCACGAAGUACAAUUACGAAAGUAGCCCUAAUGAAAAUCUGACUCCACGAAAGCCAUAAAA